This 253-nucleotide ribosomal RNA is filed under the name uncultured bacterium. RNAcentral describes it as "partial 16S ribosomal RNA". It matches the Rfam family "Bacterial small subunit ribosomal RNA", at positions 524 to 776 of the family's 1533-position model. The record is from RNAcentral.
UACGAAGGGGGCUAGCGUUGUUCGGAAUCACUGGGCGUAAAGGGUGCGUAGGCUGCGCCGUAAGUCAGAUGUGAAAGCUCAGGGCUCAACCCUGAAAUUGCAUCCGAUACUGCGGUGCUAGAGAAAUGAAGGGGAGUCUAGAAUUUUCGGUGUAGCAGUGAAAUGCGUAGAUAUCGAAAGGAAUACCAAAGGCGAAGGCAGGACUCUGGGCAUUUUCUGACGCUCAUGCACGAAAGCUAGGGUAGCGAACGGG